AUGACCUGGGCUCCUCUCCUGCUGAUACUUCUGGCUCACUGCACAGCCUCCACUUCCCAGGCUUUGGUGACUCAGGAAACCUCACUUACCACAACUCAAGAAGGGACAGUCACACUCACCUGUGGCUCCAAUACUGGGGCUGUCACCACCAGUAACUAUGCAAAAUGGAUUCAACAGAAGCCUUACCAGGUACCACAGGGUGUAACAGGUGACACCAGUAAUCGGGUUCCUGGAGUCCCUGCCCGUUUCUCAGGCUCCCUGCUUGGAGACAAGGAUGCCCUCACCAUCACAAGGGCCCACACUGAGGAUGAGGCCACUUAUUACUGUGCUCUGUGGUUCAGCAACCAUUUACACAGUGACACAUACAGUCUGACUCAGACUCACUCUUGGUCCUAA
Non-coding RNA from Marmota flaviventris (yellow-bellied marmot), 396 nucleotides. The record is from the annotation of a RefSeq genome assembly. Lineage: Eukaryota; Metazoa; Chordata; Mammalia; Rodentia; Sciuridae.